This 305-nucleotide ribosomal RNA is filed under the name uncultured bacterium. RNAcentral's name for it is "bacterial SSU rRNA". It matches the Rfam family "Bacterial small subunit ribosomal RNA", at positions 337 to 634 of the family's 1533-position model. The record is from RNAcentral.
ACCUACGGGACGCAGCAGUAGGGAAUCUUCCACAAUGGGCGAAAGCCUGAUGGAGCAACGCCGCGUGGGUGAAGAAGGUCUUCGGAUCGUAAAACCCUGUUGUUAGAGAAGAAAGUGCGUGAGAGUAACUGUUCACGUUUCGACGGUAUCUAACCAGAAAGCCACGGCUAACUACGUGCCAGCAGCCGCGGUAAUACGUAGGUGGCAAGCGUUAUCCGGAUUUAUUGGGCGUAAAGGGCGUGUAGCCGGGCUGACAAGUCAGAUGUGAAAUCCGGGGGCUCAACCCCCGAACUGCAUUUGAAACU